This 443-nucleotide ribosomal RNA is filed under the name uncultured bacterium. RNAcentral describes it as "partial 16S ribosomal RNA". It matches the Rfam family "Bacterial small subunit ribosomal RNA", at positions 338 to 795 of the family's 1533-position model. The record is from RNAcentral.
CCUACGGGUGGCAGCAGUGGGGAAUAUUGGGCAAUGGGCGCAAGCCUGACCCAGCAACGCCGCGUGAGGGAAGAAGGCUCUCUGGUUGUAAAAUUCUUUUUUCAGGGACGUAGAAAGUGACGGUACCUGAGGAAUAAGCCACGGCUAACUACGUGCCAGCAGCCGCGGUAAUACGUAGGUGGCAAGCGUUAUCCGGAUUUAUUGGGUGUAAGGGGCGUGUAGGCGGGGGCGCAAGUCAGAUGUGAAAACUCAGGGCUCAACCCUGAGCCUGCAUUUGAAACUGGGUUUCUUGAGUGCUGGGGAGGCAAUCGGAAUGCCGUGUGUAGCGGUGAAAUGCGUAGAUAUACGGAGGAACACCAGUGGCGAAGGCGGAUUGCUGGGCAGUAACUGACGCUGAGGCGCGAAAGCGUGGGGAGCAAACAGGAUUAGAUACCCUUGUAGUC